Molecule: ribosomal RNA, 468 nt
Filed under: uncultured bacterium
Lineage: Bacteria
Description: bacterial SSU rRNA
Rfam family: Bacterial small subunit ribosomal RNA
Source: RNAcentral
UGUCCAGACUCCUACGGGAGGCAGCAGUGAGGAAUAUUGGUCAAUGGGCGCGAGCCUGAACCAGCCAAGUAGCGUGAAGGAUGACUGCCCUACGGGUUGUAAACUUCUUUUAUAAAGGAAUAAAGUGAGGCACGUGUGCCUUUUUGUAUGUACUUUAUGAAUAAGGAUCGGCUAACUCCGUGCCAGCAGCCGCGGUAAUACGGAGGAUCCGAGCGUUAUCCGGAUUUAUUGGGUUUAAAGGGAGCGUAGAUGGGUUGUUAAGUCAGUUGUGAAAGUUUGCGGCUCAACCGUAAAAUUGCAAUUGAUACUGGCAGCCUUGAGUACAGUUGAGGUAGGCGGAAUUCGUGGUGUAGCGGUGAAAUGCGUAGAUAUCAGGAGGAACACCGGCGGCGAAGGCGGCUUACUGGACUGUAACUGACGUUGAGGCUCGAAGGCGUGGGGAGCAAACAGGAUUAGAUACCCUCGUAC